AGCGAGCGAGGACAAAAACGGCUGAACCUUUGCUAUCCUCUCACCUUCGCUCUCUCCCUCCCCAAAUCCCUAAUUUCUCCCCACUCCCAAUCUUCCUGGCGGCGGCAGCGAGCGAGCAGGCGGCUGCAUUUACCGGGACUAGCGGCGGCGAGCGAGCAGCAGAGCUGCGACGACAAGGUCAAGAACCCCGGCGGCCGCCUCCCCCACCACCGGGAAAAGGAGAGGAAGGGGAAAGGGACCCCCUUUUCCUCGCCCCGGCGGUCAUCCGGGAGAAGGAUGACCUGUGUGCCUCCAGAUGUGCUGCUGCCGCGACAUGGAAGCCGGCGUGCUGAUGCUGCUCUCCUCCGAUGUCGGGGACGACCGGCUGCUGCUACACGCCGGUGAAUAGUGGCGAUUGGCGAUCGAGUACUCCUUGAUGUCAGAUCCGUUCCCCACUAGAUUCAUUCCUGCUACAAUUGCUGCCUUGAUUUUAACCUUCAGAAGACAAAAUUUGCAAAAUGGGUGUUCCAACUUGCAAGUCCUUAUAUCAGAUCCAAGGGAGCUGAGGCAUGUUCAUUUAUCUCCUUUGCAGUCCAGUACUACGAUUAAUUUUGUAUUUCCCGAAUGGAUCUGCAACGAGUUUAUCACUCUUUUAUUCAUUUCUUCUAAUGGAUCAUCAUGCCUUUUGCCUUUACUGUCACCCCUAAACUUUAAUGGUCUCUAGCAGUAUACCUAAUAACUUACUAUUUCCACAGAGAAUCCAACAUAACUAAGGAGUGAUUUGACAAAGUUCUGAAAGCUGGUUCUAAUGUUGUAUUUACCACCAGGGGAAUUGAUGAUAUGUCUUUGAAGAGAAUAUGAUGCAGAGCAUUUGUUCCUACGCUCUUCCUUGUCUGAGCUAUGAAGUAGUAGCCGCAUGUCGCUCUUCUCGAUGAUGGUGAUAAUGCAAGGUAGCGGUGGCCUGUUAAUAUCAAGACCCAUGAAGCAGUGAUGCGAAAAUGUUCAAGCAACUCACUCAAGAGCAUGGUGUUUGCUCUGGCAGGUACAUAUUUCUUAUUUGCUUGUACCUUUGGCCUGUUAUUAUCUUCUUCUUUUUUACUUCUGGCCUAACGAGUUUCAGGUCGUGUUGCUCUGUUCCGUGGUGCGUGUCUCUUCGGUUACAGUAUUACCGUUUUAGGGUGCCCUUUUCUUACGAAUGUUCUAUAUGCUAACUGCCUUUGAUCAUCGCUAUAAGUUGUCUCAUGUGGAGGUUGUGGACAGAUCGCAUUUUGUUGGUGCCUGGCCGUACGCCUCUGGUGUAAGAUCGGCGAUAGCACUGAAACAUGCUCCAGCCACAAUUUAUAUAUGAUCAAAAGCCAUAAUUAGCUUCAGGCUAUCAGCAUAACUAGGCCAUAUACAUUUAGAGGACACUGUUUCUACUUUUGGGCAUACAGUUUUUGUCAUCUUUGCAUACCAUGUUUCCUCUUUAUGCGCUGGAUUAGGAAAAAAAUUCUUUGGGUUGCAAAUAGCACAGUAAUGUGUUCUUUGUUUAUCUGUCAGUGAGAAAAUCCAAGAUCUUGUCUUGGCUAAAAGAGAGUUAUGUGGAUGGUGUUCCUCCCACUGAGCAGCAUACAAUGGUAUCGUCUGGUGUUUUUGCAGAAGAGAGUUGAGUGAGAAAUGGAAUAUGGUAGGAAAAGGUAAUAAUGCUUGGUAUGUAAGUCCGUUUUUAUAAAUUGCAAGUACUAUAUGACCUUGAUCACACCUUUGUUCAACAGUUGUUUUUGCUCAUAUUUCCUUUUAAACUUCUUAGGUAUAUAUUUGGUGAUCAUAAGCCUAUACUGGUUAAUUGUUAGCAAUUGCUUAAAAAACCUGUUAAAGUUAGUAAUUGCUUCUGGACCAUAGGUAUGAACACAUGUCAUUUUCAUUAAGUCAAGUGUCCCACCUGAAGCCUCUUGGUAACAAAAAUACGUUUACUUAUGAAAUAUCUUUCAAAAUACGGAAUAUGUAUUGCGGGAAAUCUGUGAUAAAAUGGGUCAUGAUGGGAUGUAUGCAAACUUUUGUUUCAGAAAACAGGGCACCAGGUCCAGGCUAGACAGGUGGUUAACCCUCUUUGUGAUAUCAUACUUUUUCUUGCAAUUCAAGGACUUACAGCUUAGGCCUUGAAUCAGUUUGUGGUUUACCUUGCAUCUUUUUGUGCCUUGUGCUCACAACAAAUUGAUGCAUCUUCUUUUGCAUAGGAAAAGUGGUAAAUACGUUUGUACGUAUAUAAUGCCCGGUUUAUAGGUUGAUAAUUAUAGUGAAUAAGAUGUAGGUGCAUAUUCUGUUGCAAUUCAAAUUGGAAGCAGAUGAUUUAUUGAUUGGAAUUUUCUAUCUGUGUUCUGGUGUGCUUGUUUUAUCUAUGCAUUUGAAACUAGCAAACUAUGUCUUUUCGAGAUAGUAAAAUUGAGGAAAACGGAUUCAGUUCUUCAAUAGAAAUAUAAUCGUUAAGACAACUAUGUACUCUUGCAUUCUAAUUAGCAUUAAAGGCCUUGAGAAAGGCUGGCCCUGCAACCCUAUUAGCCCACUCUGCAGAAUCGAACCUGAAACUGAUGUUUGCCUCCUCGCCAACUGCCCCUUUGGGCUUUUGGGCUUAAUUGGUGGCAGCUGUCUUCUAAUAAGCUUUUUGUUCAGCACUGCAAGGCCUGGAACUCCAUCAUGCAGCUGCUGUGGUGGACAUGGAAGGAAAGAAAUGAUAGCAUCUUCCGGCGUCGCACUUUGCUGCUGCCGAAAUCUCUAGACAGAUUCCGUGGGGACCUGUCGAUGUGGUCGGACGCUCCAAAAUACUGAACCUACGAAGACCACGUGAAUGACUAAAUAUUUGUCACUCUGUUGGUUGCUGAACGGCCAGCUGGGUGCUGCUGUGUCUCUGGUGCUUUCUAUUCUUUUUCCUAGCUUGGUUCGGUCACCCUUCAAACCUUGUAACUCUGCUCUAAUCUAUAAUCAAUGAAAAGCUGCGCUGACAACCUUUUCGUCUAGAAAUGUUUCAGCUUCUCAGCCUUUUAUUUUUGUUUUUCCAAGGUUGUAAAAUUGAGGAGAAAAGAAUGCAGUUGUUCAACAGAAUGUAAAUUGUUGCGGCGGC
This is a long non-coding RNA of Lolium rigidum, 3076 nucleotides long. RefSeq lists it as uncharacterized. NCBI's taxonomy places the organism in Eukaryota, Viridiplantae, Streptophyta, Magnoliopsida, Poales, Poaceae. The transcript has 2 exons. The record is from RefSeq and is a predicted model, not a curated record.